AGAUUGAACGCUGGCGGCAGGCCUAACACAUGCAAGUCGAGCGGUAGAGAGGUGCUUGCAUCUCUUGAGAGCGGCGGACGGGUGAGUAAUGCCUAGGAAUCUGCCUAGUGGUGGGGGAUAACGUUCGGAAACGGACGC
This 138-nucleotide ribosomal RNA is filed under the name uncultured soil bacterium. RNAcentral describes it as "partial 16S ribosomal RNA". It matches the Rfam family "Bacterial small subunit ribosomal RNA", at positions 26 to 163 of the family's 1533-position model. The record is from RNAcentral.